GAUUCUGGCUCAGGAUGAAUGCUGGCGGCAUGCCUAAUACAUGCAAGUCGAGCGGUAACAUGAAUAGCUUGCUAUUGAUGACGAGCGGCGGACGGCUGAGUAACGCGUGGGAGCAUACCCCAGACUGAGGGAUAACUACUCGAAAGAGUAGCUAAUACCGCAUACGAUCUACGGAUUAAAGCUUUCGGGCGGUUUGGGAAUGGCCUGCGUACGAUUAGAUAGUUGGUGAGGUAAUGGCUCACCAAGUCGACGAUCGUUAGAUGGUUUGAGAGGAUGAUCAUCCGGACUGGGACUGAGACACGGCCCAGACUCCUACGGGAGGCAGCAGUAGGGAAUCUUUCACAAUGGGCGAAAGCCUGAUGGAGCAAUGCCGCGUGCAGGACGAAGGCCUUCGGGUUGUAAACUGCUUUUAUAAGCGAGGAAUAUGACGGUAACUUAUGAAUAAGGAUCGGCUAACUACGUGCCAGCCGCCGC
RNAcentral lists this ribosomal RNA (474 nucleotides) under uncultured bacterium. Its description in RNAcentral is "bacterial SSU rRNA". It matches the Rfam family "Bacterial small subunit ribosomal RNA", at positions 15 to 518 of the family's 1533-position model. The record is from RNAcentral.